UAAUUUUAAAGGUUUAACCGGAAGCGAAGUGUUGGAUUAAGGCUGACUUGACGCCGAAUAGCAAUGUCCGACUUCAUACCUGACAGGAACAAUCCUGGCUUCUCCUAAACAACAUAUUCAUUACUCCAGCAACAGCAGGACGGAUGUUCAUCAUCAUCUUCAUCAUCACAGUAACGUCUGACAGCCGUCGUGCAGUAGGGCCAAUAAGCAGCGGAUGCGGCUGGCACCCGGCUGCAGGCGGCCCUCUCAAUGGUCUCUCCCACCAUGAAAGCGUUGGUGGAUGCUGUAUGGGCGGUGUGGAGCAUCGGGGCCUCCAUUUAUGACUACAUCCACACCAACGCCAUGGAGGAGCGCAUCCACGCCCUGGAGAACGUCAUCACCAUCCACCAGUGUGUGAUUGGACUUCUGUCAGCAGGCGUAUUGGUACUCUUCACCUACAUCCUCUUCAAGAAGCUCUGAAGAUGUGUGGAGGGGUGGGCUGGGGGUGACGUGGGGGUGGUAGACCGACAAGAAUCAGACAUGAGUGUCAAGGGUGGUAAAGCAAACACUGGUGAGACAGACAAAGGGGAGUUUCUUACACAUUGGGUACAUUACACAGACUCGUAAGAGCUGAAGGGCACAUGUAGGAGAGUGUACAGUGAGGGAGGAGACAGUAAGGAGGAGAUGGCGUUGGACCUAACAUAUACUCGGGGACACAGGAGGUAGGAAGGUGCAGCAUUAUGUGUUAAAAGAUCCAGAUGGUAAUUUUUAACAUCAAGCUAUUUUGGGGAAAACAGAUUGAGGUUCAUGUCCUCUCUCAGUAAUGUAGGAGUGGCUGUGGAGGAUGUGAGCAUGUGGAGCUACAGGGUCCAGCUGUUUUUUUUUUAUUGGCCGGUAUAGAUAGUAUUUUUACUGACGCUGACAGAUUACAUGUGCCAGUAUUCAAAAUAUUCAAAUUUUUAUUGAAGGGACAGCUCACCCCAAAAUUGAAACAAUAUAUUUUUCUUCUUACCUGUAGCGUUGUUUGUAAGUCUAGAUUGUUUUGGUGUGAGUUGACUAGAUGGCACUCGGCUUGUGGCGCUCGAAUCUCCAAACAUUUGAAACACUCGCUGACUGUAUUACUGUGCUGAAGGAAGUGUGCAUCUACUCAUUGAAGAGAGGCCUGUGCUCCAGAUGUACACAUUAAUGGUGUCCUCCUCAGCUGAGCAGUAGCCAAACAGCAUCCUCCGGGGCUGGAAAAUGAAGCCAAUGUGAAGUUCUUUGAGGUCACUUGAGGCUAGCUCCAAAAACGAGCCCAUCCCCACAGACCCCCAUGUUAAAAUGCCCAACUUUACAGCAGAUCUCUGUGGCUCAUUUCAACAUUCGUGACAACUGUGUCGUGCAGGGGAGAGUAAUAAAAAAUACGUUUUGAGUGACAGACUGCCUGCAAGUCAUCACUGUAGUCUGAGUCCGACCCGCCCCUCGCUCUUCUACAGCUCCACCCUCUCAUCCAAAUAUGGUCACCUCUGUUUCCAAAAAUCCAAGAUGGCGACGGCCAAAAUGUCACACUUGAGGCUUCAAAAUGGCAGUCCACAAACCAAUGAGUGACAUCACCGUAGCUACAUCUAUUAUUUUAUUUAGUCUACUGUUGUAACAUUAGCUAGCCCAGUGGUGCUAGGUGAGCUAGCAGUAGAAGCACGCUUCCUUCUGUGCAGUGAUACAGUUGGCAGGUGUAGUUCAGUAUGAAGAAAAUAGUUCCUUCAUGAAACUGCUCACAACAAGGUCUGUGGAUUAUCUCUAGUAACUGGGUCAUGAUUUCUCUAAAGAGUCAUUGCUGUUGAGUUUUUCAAAUGUAUUUUUUUUUUU
Long non-coding RNA from Epinephelus fuscoguttatus (brown-marbled grouper), 1824 nucleotides. RefSeq lists it as uncharacterized. The transcript has 2 exons. Lineage: Eukaryota; Metazoa; Chordata; Actinopteri; Perciformes; Serranidae. The record is from RefSeq and is a predicted model, not a curated record.